RNAcentral lists this ribosomal RNA (1952 nucleotides) under seawater metagenome. RNAcentral's name for it is "bacterial LSU rRNA". It matches the Rfam family "Bacterial large subunit ribosomal RNA", at positions 415 to 2502 of the family's 2925-position model. The record is from RNAcentral.
GGGCGGGACACGUGAAAUCCUGUCUGAACAUGGGGGGACCACCCUCCAAGCCUAAGUACUCCUUACCGACCGAUAGUGAACAAGUACCGUGAGGGAAUGAUGAAAAGAACCCCGAUGAGGGGAGUGAAACAGAUCCUGAAACCGGAUGCCUACAAGCUGAUGGAGCUCUUCGGAGUGACAUCGUACCUUUUGUAUAAUGGGUCAGCGACUUAGUGUUGCGUGCAAGCUUAAGCCGUUAGGUGUAGGCACAGCGAAAGCGAGUCUUAAUAGGGCGAAUGAGUACGUAGCAUUAGACCCGAAGGCAAGUGAUCUAGAUAUGGGCAGGCUGAAGGUGCAGUAACAUGCACUGGAGGGCCGAACCGUUGAGCGUUGAAAAGCUCUCGGAUGACCUGUGUCUAGGGGUGAAAGGCCAAUCAAACUUGCUGAUAGCUGGUUCUCCGCGAAAUCUAUUUAGGUAGAGCGUCACGAUUAGACUCUGGGGGGUAGAGCACUGAAUGGGCUAGGGGUCCUCACCGGAUUACCAAACCUUCUCAAACUCCGAAUACCCAGAAGUUAUGCGUGGCAGACACACGGCGGGUGCUAACGUCCGUCGUGAAAAGGGAAACAACCCAGACCGCCAAUUAAGGCCCCUAAGUAAUAGCUAAGUGCGAAACGAUGUGGAGGUGCUGAGACAAUCAGGAGGUUGGCUUAGAAGCAGCCAUCCUUUAAAGAAAGCGUAACAGCUCACUGAUCAAGCGCCUCUGCGCGGAAAAUGUAUCGGGACUAAAGUUAUACGCCGAAAUUGCGGACUCAGUAAUGAGUGGUAGCGGAGCGUUCCGUAAGCCGAUGAAGGUGAACCGCGAGGUUUGCUGGAGGUAUCGGAAGUGAGAAUGCUGACAUGAGUAGCGACAAAGAGUGUGAGAAACACUCUCGCCGAAAGACCAAGGGUUCCUGCGCAAGGCUAAUCCGCGCAGGGUGAGUCGGCCCCUAAGCCGAGGGCGAAGGCCGUAGGCGAUGGGAAACGGGUUAAUAUUCCCGUACCUGUGGUGAGUGACGAAUGCUGUAAGUUGUAUCUCCUUAUCGGAUUGGUGGAUGCAGCGAAGGCGUUCCAGGAAAUAACUCCCACGUAUAGACCGUACCCCAAACCGACACAGGUGGUCAGGUAGAGGAUACCAAGGCGCUUGAGAGAACGAUGUUGAAGGAACUCGGCAAAAUGCACCCGUAACUUCGGGAUAAGGGUGACCUAUGCGAAGGCAACUUUGUAUAGGUGGCACAAAAUUGGGGGUGGCGACUGUUUACUAAAAACAUAGGGCUCUGCGAAGCCGCGAGGCGACGUAUAGGGUCUGACGCCUGCCCGGUGCUGGAAGGUUAAAAGGAGGGGUGAGAGCUCUGAAUUGAAGCCCCAGUAAACGGCGGCCGUAACUAUAACGGUCCUAAGGUAGCGAAAUUCCUUGUCGGGUAAGUUCCGACCUGCACGAAUGGUGCAACGAUCUGGGCACUGUCUCAGCCAUGAGCUCGGUGAAAUUGUAGUAUCGGUGAAGAUGCCGAUUACCCGCAACGGGACGGAAAGACCCCGUGCACCUUUACUAUAGCUUAACGUUGACAUUGGAUAAUUCAUGUGUAGGAUAGGUGGGAGACUAUGAAGUGGCAUCGCUAGGUGUUGCGGAGUCGUCCUUGAAAUACCACCCUUGAAUUAUUCGGUGCCUAACUCUUAAUAGAGAACAUCGUUUGGUGGGUAGUUUGACUGGGGUGGUCGCCUCCAAAAGAGUAACGGAGGCUUCUAAAGGUUCCCUCAGCACGCUUGGUAACCGUGCGUAGAGUGCAAUGGCAUAAGGGAGCUUGACUGAGAGACCUACAAGUCGAUCAGGUACGAAAGUAGAGCAUAGUGAUCCGGUGGUUCCGCAUGGAAGGGCCAUCGCUCAAAGGAUAAAAGGUACUCCGGGGAUAACAGGCUGAUCUCCCCCAAGAGCUCA